This 439-nucleotide ribosomal RNA is filed under the name uncultured Bacteroides sp. RNAcentral's name for it is "bacterial SSU rRNA". It matches the Rfam family "Bacterial small subunit ribosomal RNA", at positions 338 to 773 of the family's 1533-position model. The record is from RNAcentral. Lineage: Bacteria; Pseudomonadati; Bacteroidota; Bacteroidia; Bacteroidales; Bacteroidaceae.
CCUACGGGAGGCAGCAGUGAGGAAUAUUGGUCAAUGGGCGAGAGCCUGAACCAGCCAAGUAGCGUGAAGGAUGACGGCCCUACGGGUUGUAAACUUCUUUUGUGCGGGAAUAAAGGAACCUACGUGUAGGUUUUUGCAUGUACCGUAACGAAUAAGCAUCGGCUAACUCCGUGCCAGCAGCCGCGGUAAUACGGAGGAUGCGAGCGUUAUCCGGAUUUAUUGGGUUUAAAGGGAGCGUAGACGGGUUUUUAAGUCAGCUGUGAAAGUUUGGGGCUCAACCUUAAAAUUGCAGUUGAAACUGGAGACCUUGAGUACGGUUGAGGCAGGCGGAAUUCGUGGUGUAGCGGUGAAAUGCUUAGAUAUCACGAAGAACCCCGAUUGCGAAGGCAGCCUGCUAAGCCGCCACUGACGUUGAGGCUCGAAAGUGCGGGUAUCAAAC